AUGGGUCGGCGGCUGAUUAGGUAGUUGGUGAGGUAAUGGCUCACCAAGCCUAAGAUCAGUAGGGGUCGUGAAAGCGAUAGCCCGAAGAAGGGCACUGAGAUACUGGCCCUAGCCCUACGGGGUGCAGCAGGCGGGAAAACUUUACAAUGCACGAAAGUGUGAUAGGGGAAUUCCAAGUGCUUAUACUUUUGUAUAGGCUUUUGUUAAGGGUAAAAACCUUGAAGAAUAAGUGGUGGGCAAGACUGGUGCCAGCCGCCGCGGUAACACCAGCGCCACGAGUAGUAGUCACGUUUAUUGGGUCUAAAGCAUUCGUAGCCGGUUUGAAAAGUCUUUUGUGAAAUUGUUGAACUUAAUUUAACAACAUGCAAAAGAUACUAACAGACUUGAAGCUGGGAGGAGUCAAGAGUAAUCUAAGGGGAGCGGUUAAAUGUUAUAAUCCUUAGAAGACUACCGAUGGCGAAGGCACCCGACUAGAACAGAUUUGACGGUGAGGGAUGAAAGCUAGGGGAGCAAAACGGAUUAGAUACCCGAGUAGUCCUAGCUGUAAACACUGUGCACUAGGUGUUGCGAUGACCUCGAGAUUUUGCGGUGCCGAAGUGAAAACGUUAAGCUCACCGCCUGGGAAGUACGGUCGCAAGACUGAAACUUAA
This 650-nucleotide ribosomal RNA is filed under the name uncultured euryarchaeote. RNAcentral's name for it is "SSU rRNA". It matches the Rfam family "Archaeal small subunit ribosomal RNA", at positions 209 to 859 of the family's 1478-position model. The record is from RNAcentral. Lineage: Archaea; Methanobacteriati; Methanobacteriota.